GGUCGGGUGGCGCAAUUGGUAGCGCGUAGCUCUCCUACGAGUAAAGCUGAGGCUAUGGGUUCGAGUCCCAUCUCGAUCG
This is a non-coding RNA of Staphylotrichum tortipilum, 79 nucleotides long. Lineage: Eukaryota; Fungi; Ascomycota; Sordariomycetes; Sordariales; Chaetomiaceae. The record is from the annotation of a GenBank genome assembly.